Molecule: ribosomal RNA, 531 nt
Filed under: uncultured bacterium
Lineage: Bacteria
Description: partial 16S ribosomal RNA
Rfam family: Bacterial small subunit ribosomal RNA
Source: RNAcentral
UGGGGAAUAUUGCACAAUGGGCGCAAGCCUGAUGCAGCCAUGCCGCGUGUGUGAAGAAGGCCUUCGGGUUGUAAAGCACUUUCAGCGAGGAGGAAGGUGGUGAGCUUAAUACGCUCAUCAAUUGACGUUACUCGCAGAAGAAGCACCGGCUAACUCCGUGCCAGCAGCCGCGGUAAUACGGAGGGUGCAAGCGUUAAUCGGAAUUACUGGGCGUAAAGCGCACGCAGGCGGUUUGUUAAGUCAGAUGUGAAAUCCCCGGGCUCAACCUGGGAACUGCAUUUGAAACUGGCAAGCUAGAGUCUCGUAGAGGGGGGUAGAAUUCCAGGUGUAGCGGUGAAAUGCGUAGAGAUCUGGAGGAAUACCGGUGGCGAAGGCGGCCCCCCUGGACGAAGACUGACGCUCAGGUGCGAAAGCGUGGGGCAGCAAACAGGAUUAGAUACCCUGGUAGUCCAGCGCUGUAAACGAUGUCGAUUUGGAGGUUGUGCCCUUGAGGCGUGGCUUCCGGAGCUAACGCGUUAAAGUCGACCGCCU